This 406-nucleotide unclassified non-coding RNA is filed under the name soil metagenome. Its description in RNAcentral is "partial contains 5.8S ribosomal RNA, internal transcribed spacer 2, and large subunit ribosomal RNA". The stretch from base 1 to 121 matches the Rfam family "5.8S ribosomal RNA", at positions 35 to 154 of the family's 154-position model. The record is from RNAcentral.
GAUGAAGAACGUAGCGAAAUGCGAUAAGUAAUGUGAAUUGCAGAAUUCAGUGAAUCAUCGAAUCUUUGAACGCACCUUGCGCCCUUUGGCCAUUCCGAAGGGCAUGCCUGUUUUAGUAUCAUGAACACCUCAACUCUUCAUGGUUUUCCAUGAUGAGCUUGGACUUUGGGGGUCUUGCUGGCCUGUGGGUCGGCUCCUCUCAAAUGAAUCAGCUUGCCGGUUUUUGGUGGGCAUCACAGGUGUGAUAACUAUCUACGCUUGUGGUUUUCCACCAGGGUAACCUUCAGCAGUGGAGGUUCACUGGAGCUUACAAAUGUCUCUCCUCUGUGAGGACAGCCCUUUGAAUGUUUGAUCUCAAAUCAGGUAGGACUACCCGCUGAACUUAAGCAUAUCAAUAAGCGGAGGA